RNAcentral lists this ribosomal RNA (465 nucleotides) under Vreelandella stevensii. RNAcentral's name for it is "partial 16S ribosomal RNA". It matches the Rfam family "Bacterial small subunit ribosomal RNA", at positions 338 to 795 of the family's 1533-position model. The record is from RNAcentral. Lineage: Bacteria; Pseudomonadati; Pseudomonadota; Gammaproteobacteria; Oceanospirillales; Halomonadaceae.
CCUACGGGUGGCAGCAGUGGGGAAUAUUGGACAAUGGGGGGAACCCUGAUCCAGCCAUGCCGCGUGUGUGAAGAAGGCCCUCGGGUUGUAAAGCACUUUCAGUGAGGAAGAACGCCUGGUGGUUAAUACCCAUCAGGAAAGACAUCACUCACAGAAGAAGCACCGGCUAACUCCGUGCCAGCAGCCGCGGUAAUACGGAGGGUGCGAGCGUUAAUCGGAAUUACUGGGCGUAAAGCGCGCGUAGGUGGCUUGAUAAGCCGGUUGUGAAAGCCCCGGGCUCAACCUGGGAACGGCAUCCGGAACUGUCAAGCUAGAGUGCAGGAGAGGAAGGUAGAAUUCCCGGUGUAGCGGUGAAAUGCGUAGAGAUCGGGAGGAAUACCAGUGGCGAAGGCGGCCUUCUGGACCGACACUGACGCUGAGGUGCGAAAGCGUGGGUAGCAAACAGGAUUAGAUACCCUGGUAGUC